Non-coding RNA from Cricetulus griseus (Chinese hamster), 1160 nucleotides. NCBI's taxonomy places the organism in Eukaryota, Metazoa, Chordata, Mammalia, Rodentia, Cricetidae. The record is from RefSeq and is a predicted model, not a curated record.
GUGUCAGGCAGGGCUACUAGGUCAGGGUGACUGUGAAGAAAAAUAGGAGUGAGGACUCCUGAGCCUUGACUGUGUAUGUUAUUUGUGUCUAAGUCUAAGCCUGGCUGCUAUGUGGCUAAGUCACAAGGCUAUUUCCAACCUAAGAAAUGCCAUCUGGCCUGAGACUGCUCCUUAGAUAAUUCCAGUGCCUUCUUCCUCCAAAGGGAGGCUGAUUGCAAUGCUACAAGUCCCAGCCUUCGUUAGUCAGCCUCCAUAAAUCAUGGCUGGCACGAAAGACUGGAGGGCCAUGGGUAAUUGAAUUCCAACCAACCUUCACACCUAAUUCAAGUCAACUUUCUGACCCUUCCUGGAUCAAUCUGCUGUCAGAGCUGGACUCAGCAGCCCCAGACCCCAUGACAGGCCUGCCUGGAAACCAAGCCUGAGUUGGGACAGUGCUUAUUCAAGUCACGUUUCAGUAGGACAAUGUCCUGACUUCACUCUGUUUGUAAGCCUCUAUGCUGCUCUCCAGUCUACUGAAUGUACACAUGGUCUGGAUUCCAUUACCAGAACACAACUGUGGCAUUUCACAUUUUCCAAAAAAUAUAGCUCUUCCUUCCUCCUUCAAGAGGCCACAUCACACCCCACGACUAUUUCUUAUUCUCAGACAGUUGCAACCAAGCUCACGGGAUGAUAAGAGGCCCCUGUAAUGUAGCCAGUGGCCUGGGGACCCCAAGCAGCCCGGAAAACUGUGUUUAGGUGGGAAUGUUAAUGGAAUUAUCCCUUGCUGCUGGGUAAGAGUCUGCUGUUGAGAGAUAAUUACCCAGGCAAAGAUGAAGCAUCACGGGAGCCUAAUGCUGAGGCAGAGAGCUCACUGUUUAUUUUCCAUGUUGCCACAUAAUCGCCUUCACUAUUUAACUUCAUUAACAUCUCCACUAACCCGGGGCCACACAAUUUUACUUAAAAGAAAGAAAUUAAGUAACCCUGAACCUACAUGUAAUUGUAAACAAAGUUACCGGAGAUGUGGGCUAUGAUGUUUUCACUGUUAUAGUGGGUGGCAGACAAGUCCCCUUUUGCCCCUAUCCUUCCUUCUCUCUGAGAGAUGAAAGUGAUAGCAACUUUUGCUGACUGUUUACUGUAGGCCCUCCCUUGCAUUGAACACCACACAUAUGCUGACCUCCUUA